Molecule: ribosomal RNA, 801 nt
Filed under: Triticum aestivum (bread wheat)
Lineage: Eukaryota; Viridiplantae; Streptophyta; Magnoliopsida; Poales; Poaceae
Description: partial small subunit ribosomal RNA
Source: RNAcentral
AUGGGUGUCAAGGGUGGUGGUGUCCUGUGGUGUCUCCUGCUCGCCGGGCUCCUUCUCCUAGCCGUGGCCUGCGCGGCGGAGCGGGACACGGAGAAGGAGAAGGAGGAGGAGAUCCGGUGGUGCAAGGAGGACUGCGACUGGAAGGCGGGGCAGGACACCGGGAAGGCCAGGGAGUGCAAGGAGCAGUGUGAGCGCCGCCGCCACGGCCACGAGCUGCUCCAGGAAGACGGCGACAGCUUCGACAGCUGUGUGAGCAAGUGCCGGGGCCAUGGGGGCUGGUGGGGAAAGGAGCGGUGGGAACGGUGCAGGCAGAUAUGCAGGCAAAGCCAAGAAGGGGAGGGGGGUGACGAGGGCGACAACACCGACGACAGGUGCGAGAGGAUGUGCCAGCACUACCACGACCGCCGGGAGAAGAAGCAGUGCAUGAAAGGCUGCAGAUAUGGCGAGUCCGACCUCCUCAGCUCCGACGACGGCCAUGAACACGGAGACCGCUGCCAAACACAGUGCAAGCGCUUGCGGCCCGGGUCAUACGACAGACAGCAGUGCGUCGAAAAGUGCCAGUGCCAGCAGAAGGAGGACGAGGAGGUGAUGAACCACCACGGCGGCGGUGGCCAUGGCCACGGCGGCAGCAGCUGCGAGCAGAAAUGCCAGCAGCGAUACCGCCAUGAGUACGACAAGCAGCAGUGCGUGCGAGACUGCAAAAGCGGCGGUGGCGGCGGCGCCGGUGGGCGUGGCCGCGAGGGCGACGAGCGCCAGCACGGCAGGGAGAUGGUGGUCGAAGCCAUCCUCGAGGAGGUGUAG